This 514-nucleotide ribosomal RNA is filed under the name uncultured bacterium. Its description in RNAcentral is "partial 16S ribosomal RNA". It matches the Rfam family "Bacterial small subunit ribosomal RNA", at positions 28 to 523 of the family's 1533-position model. The record is from RNAcentral.
GAUGAACGCUGGCGGCGUGCCUAAUACAUGCAAGUCGAGCGAACUGAUUAGAAGCUUGCUUCUAUGACGUUAGCGGCGGACGGGUGAGUAACACGUGGGCAACCUGCCUGUAAGACUGGGAUAACUUCGGGAAACCGAAGCUAAUACCGGAUGGAAUAUUCUCCUUCAUGGGAGAUGAUUGAAAGAUGGUUUGUGCUAUCACUUACAGAUGGGCCCGCGGUGCAUUAGCUCGGUGGUGAGAUAACGACUCAACAAGGCAACGAUGCAUAGCCGACCUGAGAGGGUGGUCGGCCACACUGGGACUGAGACACGGCCCAGACUCCUACGGGAGGCAGCAGUAGGGAAUCUUCCGCAAUGGACGAAAGUCUGACGGAGCAACGCCGCGUGAGUGAUGAAGGCCUUCGGGUCGUAAAGCUCUGUUGUUAGGGAAGAACAAGUACCGGAGUAACUGCCGGUGCCUUGACGGUACCUAACCAGAAAGCCACGGCUAACUACGUGCCAGCCGCCGCGGUAA